UACGGAGGGGGCUAGCGUUGUUCGGAAUUACUGGGCGUAAAGCGCACGUAGGCGGCUUUGUAAGUUAGAGGUGAAAGCCCGGGGCUCAACCCCGGAAUUGCCUUUAAGACUGCAUCGCUAGAAUUGUGGAGAGGUAAGUGGAAUUCCGAGUGUAGAGGUGAAAUUCGUAGAUAUUCGGAAGAACACCAGUGGCGAAGGCGACUUACUGGACACAUUAUUGACGCUGAGGUGCGAAAGCGUGGGGAGCAAACAGG
RNAcentral lists this ribosomal RNA (254 nucleotides) under uncultured bacterium. Its description in RNAcentral is "partial 16S ribosomal RNA". It matches the Rfam family "Bacterial small subunit ribosomal RNA", at positions 524 to 776 of the family's 1533-position model. The record is from RNAcentral.